AACGAACGCUGGCGGCAGGCCUAACACAUGCAAGUCGAACGCUCCGCAAGGGGGAGUGGCGCACGGGUGAGUAACACGUGGGAACCUACCUUCUGGUACGGAACAACCAAGGGAAACUUUGGCUAAGACCGUAUACGACCUCCGGGUGAAAGAUUGAUCGCCGGAAGAGGGGCCCGCGUCCGAUUAGGUAGUUGGUGAGGUAACGGCUCACCAAGCCUUCGAUCGGUAGCUGGUCUGAGAGGAUGACCAGCCACACUGGGACUGAGACACGGCCCAGACUCCUACGGGAGGCAGCAGUGGGGAAUAUUGGACAAUGGGCGCAAGCCUGAUCCAGCCAUGCCGCGUGAGUGAUGAAGGCCUU
Molecule: ribosomal RNA, 361 nt
Filed under: uncultured bacterium
Lineage: Bacteria
Description: bacterial SSU rRNA
Rfam family: Bacterial small subunit ribosomal RNA
Source: RNAcentral